GAUCCUGGCUCAGGACGAACGCUGGCGGCGUGCCUAAUACAUGCAAGUAGAACGCACAGGAUGCACCGUAGUUUACUACACCGUAUUCUGUGAGUUGCGAACGGGUGAGUAACGCGUAGGUAACCUGCCUGGUAGCGGGGGAUAACUAUUGGAAACGAUAGCUAAUACCGCAUAAGAACAUUUACUGCAUGGUAGGAUGUUUAAAAGGUUUAAGGUCAAGAAGCAUCACUACCACGAUGGACCGUCGCGUUG
RNAcentral lists this ribosomal RNA (252 nucleotides) under uncultured bacterium. RNAcentral describes it as "partial 16S ribosomal RNA". It matches the Rfam family "Bacterial small subunit ribosomal RNA", at positions 15 to 240 of the family's 1533-position model. The record is from RNAcentral.